Molecule: ribosomal RNA, 564 nt
Filed under: uncultured bacterium
Lineage: Bacteria
Description: bacterial SSU rRNA
Rfam family: Bacterial small subunit ribosomal RNA
Source: RNAcentral
UGGAACUGAGACACGGUCCAAACUCCUACGGGAGGCAGCAGUGAGGAAUAUUGGUCAAUGGACGAGAGUCUGAACCAGCCAAGUAGCGUGCAGGAAGACGGCCCUAUGGGUUGUAAACUGCUUUUAUAGGGGGAUAAAGUGUGCCACGUGUGGCAUAUUGCAGGUACCCUAUGAAUAAGGACCGGCUAAUUCCGUGCCAGCAGCCGCGGUAAUACGGAAGGUCCGGGCGUUAUCCGGAUUUAUUGGGUUUAAAGGGAGCGUAGGCCGGAGAUUAAGCGUGUUGUGAAAUGUAGAUGCUCAACAUCUGCACUGCAGCGCGAACUGGUUUCCUUGAGUACGCACAAAGUGGGCGGAAUUCGUGGUGUAGCGGUGAAAUGCUUAGAUAUCACGAAGAACUCCGAUUGCGAAGGCAGCUCACUGGAGCGCAACUGACGCUGAAGCUCGAAAGUGCGGGUAUCGAACAGGAUUAGAUACCCUGGUAGUCCGCACGGUAAACGAUGGAUGCCCGCUGUUGGUCUGAAUAGGUCAGCGGCCAAGCGAAAGCAUUAAGCAUCCCACCUGGGG